This 730-nucleotide ribosomal RNA is filed under the name uncultured Alphaproteobacteria bacterium. Its description in RNAcentral is "bacterial SSU rRNA". It matches the Rfam family "Bacterial small subunit ribosomal RNA", at positions 45 to 822 of the family's 1533-position model. Lineage: Bacteria; Pseudomonadati; Pseudomonadota; Alphaproteobacteria. The record is from RNAcentral.
CGCCUACACAUGCAAGUCGAACGCAGUAGCAAUACUGAGUGGCAGACGGGUGAGUAACAUGUGGGAAUCUGCCUUGUGGUUCAGGACAACAUUGGGAAACCGAUGCUAAUACUGGAUAAGCCCUUACGGGGAAAGUUUUAAUGCCAUAAGAUGAGCCCGCAUUUGAUUAGUUAGUUGGUGAGGUAAUGGCUCACCAAGACAAUGAUCAAUAGCUGAUCUGAGAGGAUGAUCAGCCACACUGGGACUGAGACACGGCCCAGACUCCUACGGGAGGCAGCAGUGGGGAAUCUUGCACAAUGGAGGAAACUCUGAUGCAGCGAUGCCGCGUGAGUGAAGAAGGCCUUUGGGUUGUAAAGCUCUUUUGUAGGGGAAGAUAAUGACUGUACCCUAAGAAUAAGGUCCGGCUAACUUCGUGCCAGCAGCCGCGGUAAUACGAAGGGACCUAGCGUAGUUCGGAAUUACUGGGCGUAAAGCGCGCGUAGGCCGUUGAGUUAGUUAAUUGUGAAAUCCCAAAGCUUAACUUUGGAACUGCAAUUAAAACUGCUCGACUAGAGUUUGAUAGAGGAAAGCGGAAUACAUAGUGUAGAGGUGAAAUUCGUAGAUAUUAUGUAGAACACCAGUUGCGAAGGCGGCUUUCUGGAUCAACACUGACGCUGAGGCGCGAAAGUAUGGGUAGCAAAGAGGAUUAGAUACCCUCGUAGUCCAUACCAUAAACGAUGAUUGCUAGAUG